ACUCCUACGGGAGGCAGCAGUCUAGAAAUUUGGGCAAUGGGCGAAAGCCUGACCCAGCGACACCGCGUGGAGGAUGAAGUCUUUCGGGAUGUAAACUCCUGACAGGCGGAGCGAUGCCGUUUCGGAGUAACUGCCGCGACGGUGACGGUACUGCCAAAGGAAGCCCCGGCUAACUACGUGCCAGCAGCCGCGGUAAUACGUAGGGGGCAAGCGCUGUCCGGAUUUACUGGGCGUAAAGGGUGUGCAGGCGGACUGGCGUGUCGAUGGUGAAAGCUCCCGGCUUAACCGGGAAAGCGCUGUCGAAACUACCAGCCUUGAGGACGGAAGAGGAAACUGGAACUUCUGGUGUAGCGGUAAAAUGCGUAGAUAUCAGAAGGAACGCCGAUAGCGAAGGCAGGUUUCUGGGACGUUCCUGACGCUGAAACACGAAAGCUAGGGGAGCAAACAGGAUUAGAUACCCUGGUAGUCCUAGCUGUAAACGAUGUACAUUAGGCGUGGGGAUUUUCCCCGUGCCGGAGCCAACGCGUUAAAUGU
Molecule: ribosomal RNA, 534 nt
Filed under: uncultured bacterium
Lineage: Bacteria
Description: bacterial SSU rRNA
Rfam family: Bacterial small subunit ribosomal RNA
Source: RNAcentral